Molecule: ribosomal RNA, 497 nt
Filed under: uncultured bacterium
Lineage: Bacteria
Description: partial 16S ribosomal RNA
Rfam family: Bacterial small subunit ribosomal RNA
Source: RNAcentral
GACGAACGCUGGCGGCGUGCCUAAUACAUGCAAGUAGAACGCUGAAGAGAGGUGGUUACUCUUCUUGGGUGAGUUGCGAACGGAUUAGUAACGCGUAGGUAACCUGCCUUGUAGCGGGGGAUCACUAUUGGAAACGAUAGCUAAUACCGCAUAACAAUGGAUGACACAUGUCAUUUAUUUGAAAGGGGCCUUUCCUCCACUACAAGAUGGACCUGCGUUGUAUUAGCUAGUAGGUGAGGUAAUGGCUCACCUAGGCGACUAUACAUAGCCGACCUGAGCGGGUGAUCGGCCAACAUGGGGAUGGGACAAGGCCCAGACUCCCACGGGAGGGAGCAGGAGGGGAACUUCGGAAAUGGGGGCAACCCUGACCGAGCAACGCCGCGGGAGUGAAGAAGGGUGUCGGAUCGGAAAGCUCUGUUGUAAGUCAAGAAAAGGUGUGAGAGUGGAAAGUGCACACUGUGACGGUAGCGUAAGAGAAAGGGACGGCUAACUACGUG